CCUACGGGAGGCAGCAGUGAGGAAUAUUGGUCAAUGGGCGUAAGCCUGAACCAGCCAAGUCGCGUGAGGGAUGAAGGUUCUAUGGAUCGUAAACCUCUUUUAUAAGGGAAUAAAGUGUGGGACGUGUCCUAUUUUGUAUGUACUUUAUGAAUAAGGAUCGGCUAACUCCGUGCCAGCAGCCGCGGUAAUACGGAGGAUCCGAGCGUUAUCCGGAUUUAUUGGGUUUAAAGGGAGCGUAGAUGGGUUGUUAAGUCAGUUGUGAAAGUUUGCGGCUCAACCGUAAAAUUGCAAUUGAUACUGGCAGCCUUGAGUACAGUUGAGGUAGGCGGAAUUCCUAGUGUAGCGGUGAAAUGCGUAGAUAUUAGGAGGAACACCAGUGGCGAAGGCGGCCUACUGGACGGUGACUGACGCUGAGGCUCGAAAGCGUGGGGAGCAAACAGGAUUAGAUACCCUUGUAGUC
This 460-nucleotide ribosomal RNA is filed under the name uncultured bacterium. Its description in RNAcentral is "partial 16S ribosomal RNA". It matches the Rfam family "Bacterial small subunit ribosomal RNA", at positions 338 to 795 of the family's 1533-position model. The record is from RNAcentral.